This is a long non-coding RNA of Ixodes scapularis (black-legged tick), 342 nucleotides long. RefSeq lists it as uncharacterized. The transcript is spliced from 3 exons. Lineage: Eukaryota; Metazoa; Arthropoda; Arachnida; Ixodida; Ixodidae. The record is from RefSeq and is a predicted model, not a curated record.
AUUUGGAGCAGCUCUUGUAGCAGGGAACAACACAUUUUGGAGCUGAUUCCCACUUUUGGAGCAAACAAUGUGGAGCUUUCACCUCAAAAAGUUUUAUACCAUUUCUUUAGGAGGUAGCCUGUGGGAAAAACUAUAGUUGUUGGUGGUGGAAAACUAUUUAAGGCACCAUACCUACAGGGACCUGGCCACUACAGAUAUUUAUUUAUUUAUUGAACAAUCAUACGCCAGUAACUCUCCAGAUGUCUCAAUUAACCUGUUAGGAGUACCGAUGGCGUCUUCGGUUUGUGUUUGAUGCAAAAAAUAUGUUUGGCUACUUUGUAGGGUUUGUAUCACGGUGAGGUA